This is a long non-coding RNA of Etheostoma cragini (Arkansas darter), 100 nucleotides long. RefSeq lists it as uncharacterized. The transcript has 3 exons. NCBI's taxonomy places the organism in Eukaryota, Metazoa, Chordata, Actinopteri, Perciformes, Percidae. The record is from RefSeq and is a predicted model, not a curated record.
AAAAAAUGUGUCUGAAAUAUGUCCAAUUUUCAACCUGAUAUACUGAUUGUAUUUGAGUGCCUAUUAACUUCACUACAGUACAGAUUAGUUGACGGUAUUC